UCUGGUUGAUCCUGCCGGAGGUCACUGAGUAUUAGGGAUUCGACUAAGCCAUGCGAGUCGAGAGGGUUCGGCCCUCGGCUGACGGCUCAGUAACACGUGGAUAAUCUGCCCUAAGGUGGAGGAUACCCUCGGGAAACUGAGAAUAAUACUCCAUAGGUCUAGGAGGCUGGAAUGCAUCUAGGCUAAAAACUCCGGUGCCUUAGGAUGAGUCCGCGGACUAUCAGGUUGUAGUCAGGGUAAUGACCUGACUAGCCUUCGACGGAUACGGGUUGUGAGAGCAAUAACCCGGAGACGAKAUCUGAGACACGAUAUCGGGCCCUACGGGGCGCAGCAGGCGCGAAACCUUCACACUGUGCGAGAGCACGAUGAGGGGAUCCCAAGUGCUGGCACGUAAGUGUCAGCUGUUUCUUUGUCUAANAAACAGAGAGAGUAAGGGCUGGGUAAGACGGGUGCCAGCCGCCGCGGUAAUACCUGCAGCUCAAGUGGUGACCGCUAUUAUUGGGCCUAAAACGUCCGUAGCCUGUUUGGUAAAUNGCCUGGGUAAAUCGUGUCGCUUAACGAUACGAAUUCCGGGUAGACUGCCAGGCUUGAGACCGGGAGAGGUUAGAGGUACUCCGGGGGUAGAGGUGAAAUUCUGUAAUCCUCGGGGGACCACCAGUGGCGAAGGCGUCUAACCAGAACGGGUCUGACGGUGAGGGACGAAGCCCUGGGGCGCAAACCGGAUUAGAUACCCGGGUAGUCCAGGGUGUAAACGCUGCUCGCUUGAUGUUAGUUGGGCUCCGAGCUCGACUAGUGUCGGAGAGAAGUUGUUAAGCAAGCUGCCUGGGAAGUACGAUCGCAAGAUUGAAACUUAAAGGAAUUGGCGGGGGAGCACAGCAACGGGAGGAGCGUGCGGUUUAAUUGGAUUCAACGCCGGG
Molecule: ribosomal RNA, 917 nt
Filed under: uncultured Thermoplasmatales archaeon
Lineage: Archaea; Methanobacteriati; Thermoplasmatota; Thermoplasmata; Thermoplasmatales
Description: bacterial SSU rRNA
Rfam family: Archaeal small subunit ribosomal RNA
Source: RNAcentral